RNAcentral lists this ribosomal RNA (497 nucleotides) under uncultured bacterium. RNAcentral's name for it is "partial 16S ribosomal RNA". It matches the Rfam family "Bacterial small subunit ribosomal RNA", at positions 28 to 507 of the family's 1533-position model. The record is from RNAcentral.
GAUGAACGCUGGCGGCGUGCCUAAUACAUGCAAGUCGAGCGAACAGAUAAGGAGCUUGCUCCUUUGACGUUAGCGGCGGACGGGUGAGUAACACGUGGGUAACCUACCUAUAAGACUGGGAUAACUUCGGGAAACCGGAGCUAAUACCGGAUAACAUUUGGAACCGCAUGGUUCUAAAGUGAAAGAUGGUUUUGCUAUCACUUAUAGAUGGACCCGCGCCGUAUUAGCUAGUUGGUAAGGUAACGGCUUACCAAGGCGACGAUACGUAGCCGACCUGAGAGGGUGAUCGGCCACACUGGAACUUGAACACGGUCCAGACUCCUACGGGAGGCAACAGUAGGGAAUCUUCCGCAAUGGGCGAAAGCCUGGCGGAGCAACGCCGCGUGAGUGAUGAAGGGUUUCGGCUCGUAAAACUCUGUUAUUAGGGAAGAACAAACGUGUAAGUAACUGUGCACGUCUUGACGGUGCCUAAUCAGAAAGCCACGGCUAACUACGUG